GGAUGUGAGGGCGAUCUGGCUUCGACAUCUGUCACCUCAUUGGUCGCCAGGGUUGAUUCAGCUGAUUUGGCUGGCUAAGCGGGUAUCCCCUUCUUCCCUCACCGCUCCAUGUGCUCCCGCAGCUGCAUGCUCGGUUGCAGAGGACAGCCUUUCUUGAAUAGAGAUGGACCGGUCUUCGGUCGAGGGUAUACGAGUAGCUCCACUCCCCUACUAGAACCUCCAAACAAGCUCUCAAAAGUCAUCAGCACUUUCAAAAUGGUGACCCUAAAUCCAAGCCUUAUUCAGUUGAUUAUUCUCU
Erinaceus europaeus (western European hedgehog) is the source of this 298-nucleotide unclassified non-coding RNA. Its record names the gene 7SK. It matches the Rfam family "7SK RNA". From Rfam's summary of the family: 7SK was discovered as an abundant small nuclear RNA in the mid-70s but a possible function has only recently been suggested. Two independent studies have found that 7SK RNA binds the CDK9/cyclin T complex (known as elongation factor P-TEFb). Lineage: Eukaryota; Metazoa; Chordata; Mammalia; Eulipotyphla; Erinaceidae. The record is from Ensembl.